AUAGAAUCGAAUGGAAUCAACAUCAAAUGGAAACAAAUGGAAUCAUCAUCGAAUGGAAUCGAAUGGAAUCAUCAUCAAAUGGAAUCGAAUGGAAUCAUCCAAUAUAAUAGAAUUGAAUCACCAUCGAACGGAAUCGAAUAGAAUCAUCGAAUGAACUCAAAUGGAAUCAUCAUUGAAUGGAAUCGAAUCAUCAACGAAUGGAAUUGAAUGGAAUCAUAGAAUGGAAUCCAAUGUAAUCAUCAUCGAAUGGAAUCGAAUGGAAUCAUCAUCAAAUGAAAUCAAAUGGAAUCAUCGUAUGGACUCCAACGGACUCAUCAUCGACUGGAAUUGAACAGAAGCAUCGAAUGAAAUCAAAUGGAAUUAUCAUCGAACGGACCCAUAUGGAAUCAUCAUUGAAUUGACUCAUAUGGAAUCAUCGCCGAAUGGAUUCCAAUGGAAUAAUCAUGGAAUGGAUUGGAAUGGAAACAUCAUCUAAUUGAAUCAAAUAGAAUCAUCAUGGAAUUGAAUCGAAUUGCUCACCGUCGCAUGGAAUCAAAUGGAAUCAUCGAAUGGAAUUGAAUGGAAUCAUCAUCGAAUGGAAUGAAAUGGAAUCAUCCAAUGGCCGAGAAGUGAAUCAUCAUUGAAUGGAAUCGAAUAGAAUCAUCAAAUGAAAUCCAAUGGAAUCAUCAUCGAAUGGAAUCAAAUUGUCAAUGAACGGAAUUGAAUGGAAUCAUAGAAUGGAAUCCAAUGUAAUCAUCAUUGAAUUGAACCCAAUGGAAUCAUUAAAUGGACUCGAAUGGAAUCAUCGAAUGGACUCGAAUGGAAUCAUCAUCGAAUGGAAUAGAAUGGAAUCAUUGAAUGGAAUCGAAUG
RNAcentral lists this long non-coding RNA (850 nucleotides) under Homo sapiens (human). RNAcentral's name for it is "HSALNT0385496". Lineage: Eukaryota; Metazoa; Chordata; Mammalia; Primates; Hominidae. The record is from RNAcentral.